This is a long non-coding RNA of Coturnix japonica (Japanese quail), 3921 nucleotides long. The record is from Ensembl. NCBI's taxonomy places the organism in Eukaryota, Metazoa, Chordata, Aves, Galliformes, Phasianidae.
AUGUGUCCCUAUGUGUCCCUAUGUGUCCCUAUGGAUCCCUAUGGGGUCCCUAUGGCGUCUCUAUGUGUCCCUAUGUGUCCCUAUGGGUCUCUAUGGGGUUCUAUGGGGUCUCUAUGGGGUCCCUAUGGGUCUCUAUGGGGUCUCUAUGUGUCCCUAUGGAUCCCUAUGGGGUCUCUAUGGGGUAUCUAUAGUGUUCCUAUGGAUCCCUAUGUGUUUCUAUGGGGUUCUAUGGGGUCUCUAUGGGGUCUCUAUGUGUCCCUAUGUGUCCCUAUGGGGUCUUUAUGGGGUUCUAUGGGGUCUCUAUGGGGUCUCUAUGUGUCCCUAUGUGUCCCUAUGGGGUCUCUAUGGGUCCCUAUGUGUCCCUAUGGAUCCCUAUGGGGUCUUUAUGGGGUUCUGUGGGGUCUCUAUUGGGUCCCUAUGGGUCUCUAUGGGUCUCUGUGGUGCUCAAUGGGUCUCUAUGGGUCCCUAUGUGUCCCUAUAUGUCCCUAUGGGGUCCCUAUGUCUCUCUAUGGGGUCUCUAUGGGGUCUCUAUGUGUCCCUAUGUGUCCCUAUGGGGUUCCUAUGUGUCCCUAUGUCUCUCUAUGUGUCCCUAUGGGGUCUCUAUGGGGUCUCUAUGUGUCCCUAUGUGUCCCUAUGUCUCUCUAUGGGGUCUCUAUGUCUCUCUAUGUGUCCCUAUGGGGUCCCUAUGUGUCCCUAUGGGGUCUCUAUGUGUCCCUAUGGGUCCCUAUGUGUCUUUAUGGGGUUCUAUGGGGUCUCUAUGGGGUCCCUAUGGGGUCUCUAUGUGUCCCUAUGUAUCCCUAUGGGGUCUUUAUGGGGUUCUAUGGGGUCCCUAUGGGUCUCUGUGGUGCUCUAUGGGUCUCUAUGGGGUCUCUAUGGGGUCCCUAUGUGUCCCUAUGUGUCCCUAUGUGUCCCUAUGGGGUCCCUAUGGGUCCCUAUGUGUCCCUAUGGAUCCCUAUGGGGUCCCUAUGGGGUCUAUGUGUCCCUAUGGGGUCCCUGUGUCCCUAUGGGGUCCCUAUGGGGUCCCUAUGUGUCCCUAUGUGUCCCUAUGGGGUCUCUAUGUGUCCCUAUGUGUCCCUAUGGGGUCCCUAUGUGUCUCUAUGUGUCCCUAUGGGGUCUCUAUGUGUCCCUAUGUGUCCCUAUGGGGUCCCUAUGUGUCUCUAUGUGUCCCUAUGGGGUCUCUAUGGGGUCCCUAUGUGUCCCUAUGGGGUCUCUAUGGGUUCCCUAUGUGUCCCUAUGUGUCCCUAUGGGGUCCCUAUGUCUCUCUAUGGGGUCUCUAUGUGUCCCUAUGGGUCCCUAUCGGGUUCCUAUGUGUCCCUAUGUCUCUCUAUGUGUCCCUAUGGGGUCCCUAUGUGUCCCUAUGGAUCCCUAUGGGGUCUCUAUGGGGUAUCUAUAGUGUCCCUAUGGAUCCCUAUGUGUCCCUAUGGGGUCUCUAUGAGGUCUGUGGGGUCCCUAUGGGGUCGAUGUGUCCCUAUGUCUCUCUAUGGGGUCUCUACGUGUCCCUAUGGAUCCCUAUGGGAUCUCUGUGGGGUUCUAUGGGGUCUCUAUGGGGUAUCUAUAGUGUCCCCAUGGAUCCCUAUGUGUCCCUAUCGGGUCUCUAUGGAUCCCUAUGUGUCCCUAUGGGGUCCCUAUGGGGUCCCUAUGGGGUCUCUAUGGGGUCUCUAUGGGGUCUAUGGGGUCCCUAUGUGUCUCUAUGGGUCCCUAUGUGUCCCUAUGGGGUCUCUACGUGUCUCUAUGUGUCCCUAUGGGUCUCUAUGGGUCUCUAUGGUUCUCUAUGGGUCUCUAUGUUUCUCUAUGUGUCCCUAUGGGGUCUCUAUUGGUCUCUAUGGGGUCCCUAUGUGUCCCUAUGGGGUCUCUAUGGGGUCUAUGGGGUCCCUAUGGGGUCGAUGUGUCCCUAUGUCUCUCUAUGGGGUCCCUAUGUGUCCCUAUGUGUCCCUAUGGGGUCCCUAUGUGCCCCUAUGGGGUCCCUAUGUGUCCCUAUGGGGUCUCUAUGUGUCCCUAUGUGUCCCUAUGGGGUCCCUAUGUCUCUCUAUGUGUCUCUAUGGGGUCCCUAUGUGUCCCUAUGGAUCCCUAUGGGGUAUCUAUAGUGUCCCUAUGGAUCCCUAUGUGUCUCUAUGGGGUUCUGUGGGGUCUCUAUGGGGUCCCUAUGGGUCUCUAUGGGUCUCUGUGGUGCUCUAUGGGUCUCUAUGGGGUUUCUAUGUGUCCCUAUGUGUCCCUAUGGAUCCCUAUGGGGUCCCUAUGGGGUCUCUAUGUGUCCCUAUGGCGUCUCUAUGUGUCCCUAUGUGUCUAUAUGUGUCCCUAUGGGUCUCUAUGGGGUCUCUAUGGGGUCCCUAUGGGUCUCUAUGGGGCCUCUAUAUGUCCCUAUGUGUCCCUAUGUGUCCCUAUGAGUCCCUAUGGAUCCCUAUGGGGUCCCUAUGGGUCCCUAUGUGUCCCUAUGGGGUCUCUAUGUGUCCCUAUGUGUCUCUAUGGAUCCCUAUGGGGUCUCUAUGGGGUCCCUAUGGGACUCUAUGGGUCUCUGUGGUGCUCUAUGUGUCCCUAUGGGGUCCCUAUGUGUCCCUAUGUCUCUCUAUGGGGUCUCUAUGGGUCUCUGUGGUGCUCUAUGGGGUCUCUAUGUGUCCCUGUGUGUCCCUAUGGGGUCUCUAUUGGUCCCUAUGGGGUCCCUAUGGGUCUCUAUGGGGUCCCUAUGUGUCCCUAUGGGGUCUCUAUGGAUCCCUAUGGGUCCCUAUGGGGUCGAUGUGUCCCUAUGUCUCUCUAUGGGGUCUCUACGUGUCCCUAUGGAUCCCUAUGGGAUCUCUAUGGGGUCUCUAUGGGGUCCCUAUGUGUCCCUAUGUGUCCCUAUGUGUCCGUAUGGGGUCUCUAUGUGUCCCUAUGUGUCCCUAUGUGUCUCUAUGUGGUCCCUAUGGGGUCUCUAUGUGUCUUUAUGGGGUCCCUAUGUGUCCCUAUGGGGUCUCUGUGUGUCCCUAUGUCUCUCUAUGGGGUCUCUAUGGGGUUCUAUGGGGUCUCUAUGGGUCUCUAUGGGGUUCUAUGGGGUCCCUAUGUGUCCCUAUGUGUCCCUAUGGGGUCUCUAUGGGGUCCCUAUGGGUUUCUAUGGGUCUCUGUGGUGCUCUAUGGGGUCUAUGGGGCUCUAUGUGUCCCUAUGUGUCCCUAUGGGGUCUCUAUGGAUCCCUAUGGGGUCUCUAUGUGUCCCUAUGGGUCCCUAUGUGUCCCUAUGGGGUCCCUAUGGGGUCCCUAUGUGUCUCUAUGGGGCUCUGUGGGGUCUCUAGGGGUCUCUAUGUGUCCCUAUGGGUCUCUAUGGGGUCCCUAUGGGGUCCCUAUGGGUCUCUAUGUGUCCCUAUGGGGUCCCUAUGGGGUCCCUAUGUGUCUCUAUGUGUCCCUAUGGGGUCUCUAUGGGGUCUCUAUGUGUCCUUCUGUGUCCCUAUGUGUCCCUAUGGAUCCCUAUGGGGUCUUUAUGGGGUUCUAUGGGGUCUCUAUGGGGUCCCUAUGGGUCUCUAUGGGGUUCUAUGGGGUCCCUAUGUGUCCCUAUGUGUCCCUAUGGGGUCUAUGUGUCCCUAUGGGUCCCUAUGUGUCCCUAUGGGGUCCCUAUGUCUCUCUAUGGGGUCUCUAUGUGUCCCUAUGGGGGUCUCUAUGUGUCCCCAUGUCUCUCUAUGGGGUCUCUAUGGGGUUCUAUGGGGUCCCUAUGUGUCCCUAUGUGUCUCUAUGGGUCUCUAUGGGGUUCUAUGGGGUCCCUAUGUGUCCCUAUGUGUCCCUAUGGGGUCUAUGUGUCCCUAUGGGGUCCCUAUGUGUCCCUAUGGAUCCCUAUGGGGUCUGUAUGGGGUCCCUAUGUGUCCCUAUGUCUCUCUAUGGGGUCUCUAUGGGGUUCUAUGGGGUCUCUAUGGGUCUCUAUGGGGUUCUAUGGGGUCCCUAUCACACAGAAUCACAGAAUGA